Molecule: ribosomal RNA, 434 nt
Filed under: uncultured bacterium
Lineage: Bacteria
Description: partial 16S ribosomal RNA
Rfam family: Bacterial small subunit ribosomal RNA
Source: RNAcentral
AGCGAACGCUGGCGUCAGGCCUAACACAUGCAAGUCGAACGAACCGUUCGGGGUUAGUCGCGGACGGGCGCGUAACCUGUGGGAACGCGGCUUUAGGUUCGGAACAACUCAGGGACUCUUGUUCUAAUACCGCCUGUGCCCUUCGGGGGGGAGAGUAAUCGCAUUUCGUGGGGCCCGCGUCUGAUUAGCUAGUUGGUUGAGGUAAUGGCUCACCAAGGCGACGAUCAGUAGCUGGUCUGAGAGGAUGAUCAGCCACAUUGGGACUGAGACAGGGCCCAAGCUCCUACGGGAGGCAGCAGUGGGGAAUCGUGCGCAAUGGGCGAAAGCCUGACGCAGCCAUGCCGGGUGAAUGAUGAAGGUCUUAGGAUUGUAAAAUUCUUUCGCCGGGGACGAUAAUGACGGUACCCGGAGAAGAAGCCCCGGCUAACUUCGUG